This 959-nucleotide long non-coding RNA is filed under the name Chlamydomonas reinhardtii. RNAcentral describes it as "long non-coding RNA (CREI_LNC000388)". The record is from RNAcentral. Lineage: Eukaryota; Viridiplantae; Chlorophyta; Chlorophyceae; Chlamydomonadales; Chlamydomonadaceae.
AUAGUGAUGGACUGUCUACGGUGUGCCGAUGGGUUUAAAACAUACGGCUGCUGUCUUCAAUCGUCGGGUGCGGUCAACUUGCGCUUUGUCGACGCCUGACAAGGUCUGUUAAUGGUCAAGCAUCACACAAUUAUCAGUGCUUUCCGAAUAAAUAACAAUAAAUAGGGGCGGGCUGCUGCCGGCACAUUCGCAGGUGGGCUCCAUAGAUGGCAGCUUCUGGCAGCCGCCCGAACAGGGCCCAUGCAUCCCUGGCCGUCUCGGCGUCUCGCCCGCACUCCUCAAAUCUGCGCGCCUGCACCAUGCUCCAUGACUACUACGUCGGGAAAUUGGAUCCUGGCCCUGCCUGGCCCUGGAAGUCUCAGCUAAUCAUACGGUUAUUGACGAGUGUUGACGAGGAACUAAUGCGUACGGUUUCACCCGCAACGGAUUAGGCGGUUGGGCCGUGGGUUGGGCCGUGGGUUGGGCCUCGGUGGCAGGUCCUAGAGCCGCCAGGACGUGUUUGGGCGCAGGUCAAUGCACACGCUCCACGAGUGUGUAUCGAAAUCCCAAUCUCAAAUCGAACGUAGGGCGCUUGUGCACAACAACGGGAGUACGUGAUAGGAUAGGACGCGCCAGGGCAGGGGCCUCUGUGCUGGUUGAGUGCUUAUUCCAUUGGCGUCAGUACUAGCCGGCGUAGGCGUGCUCGCGUUGCAUAGCAUUGCGGCAACACACUUCUCGGAACCUCCACCUCUGAUAUCGGUAUGCUUUAAUGCUCUUAUCGACGUGCGUUGCGGAACUAAUGCGUACGCCAGGGGGGGGGUAGGAAACAAAGUGCCAGACCCCAUGCCCCGAAAUCCCCCGGGACCCCCCUUGAGGGGACGACCGACCCCCUGACGGACAAAACCUUGUUGUUCAGGGGUUAAAACCCCUCCAUUUAAUACCAAAGUGGUGUCAAUGGACUCCUCUUGACGAGCACUAUC